CUACGGGACGCACCAGUGGGGAAUAUUGCACAAUGGGCGCAAGCCUGAUGCAGCCAUGCCGCGUGUAUGAAGAAGGCCUUCGGGUUGUAAAGUACUUUCAGCGGGGAGGAAGGGAGUAAAGUUAAUACCUUUGCUCAUUGACGUUACCCGCAGAAGAAGCACCGGCUAACUCCGUGGCCAGCAGCCGCGGUAAUACGGAGGGUGCAAGCGUUAAUCGGAAUUACUGGGCGUAAAGCGCACGCAGGCGGUUUGUUAAGUCAGAUGUGAAAUCCCCGGGCUCAACCUGGGAGCUGCAUCUGAUACUGGCAAGCUUGAGUCUCGUAGAGGGGGGUAGAAUUCCAGGUGUAGCGGUGAAAUGCGUAGGGAUCUGGAGGAAUACCGGUGGCGAAGGCGGCCCCCUGGACGAAGACUGACGCUCAGGUGCGAAAGCGUGGGGAGCAAACAGGAUUAGAUACCCCAGUAGUC
RNAcentral lists this ribosomal RNA (465 nucleotides) under uncultured bacterium. RNAcentral's name for it is "partial 16S ribosomal RNA". It matches the Rfam family "Bacterial small subunit ribosomal RNA", at positions 339 to 795 of the family's 1533-position model. The record is from RNAcentral.